UACGAAGGGUGCAAGCGUUACUCGGAAUUACUGGGCGUAAAGCGUGCGUAGGUGGUUAUUUAAGCCUGUUGUGAAAGCCCUGGGCUCAACCUGGGAAUUGCAGUGGAAACUGGAUAGCUAGAGUGUGGUAGAGGAUAGCGGAAUUCCUGGUGUAGCAGUGAAAUGCGUAGAGAUCAGGAGGAACAUCCGUGGCGAAGGCGGCUAUCUGGACCAACACUGACACUGAGGCACGAAAGCGUGGGGAGCAAACAGG
This 253-nucleotide ribosomal RNA is filed under the name uncultured Xylella sp. RNAcentral's name for it is "partial 16S ribosomal RNA". It matches the Rfam family "Bacterial small subunit ribosomal RNA", at positions 524 to 776 of the family's 1533-position model. Lineage: Bacteria; Pseudomonadati; Pseudomonadota; Gammaproteobacteria; Lysobacterales; Lysobacteraceae. The record is from RNAcentral.